RNAcentral lists this long non-coding RNA (260 nucleotides) under Brassica napus (rape). RNAcentral's name for it is "long non-coding RNA (BNAP_LNC013583)". Lineage: Eukaryota; Viridiplantae; Streptophyta; Magnoliopsida; Brassicales; Brassicaceae. The record is from RNAcentral.
AAACAUUACAGAUAGAAGAGAGAGAGAGUCAAGUCUAAUGAUGAUUAUCUCCAAAAGAGGCGACUGUUGCAAAGAAUUUUUGUCUGUUUGAGGCGUCCAUCAAAUCACUCUUAAAUGAAAAAGUUACUACUUGUAGUUGGGUAAGAGGGUCAUUAAAUUAAACGUUUUAUCACCUUGUCUAAAUAAAUUAUCGUUAUAAUAACCAUUUUUAUUUCUUAUCUCCAACUAAUAGCUGUUUUCUUUUAUCUCUCCUUUAAAGU